GAAGAGAGAGAACUAGGAAAAGAAAUAGAAUUGAUUAUUGAGCACUCCUAAAAAGCUCACCAUGAUUCUGUGUAGAGCCAAAGUGAAGGAUGAUGGAACAGAGCUCUGUGCAUUAGAAGGAAAUAAACCUGAUGUCCACACAGAGUCUUACUAAUUUCUGUUUUUAAAAUGCAAAAUAAGUUUAGGAAGUGUUGGAAGUUAGUAUUUUGGGAAAGAAAUGGCAGUUCCACAAAACAUUCCAUUCCAUUUAAGAGAGGCCCUUGGACUGAUUCAUGUUGUAACUGCUGUCACUGCAAUCAGUUGGUGGUUCAGCCUUGAAACGUGCACUUGGCCUUCUAUAAAGCACUGUUUUGUUUGCCUUUCAGUGCUAUGAGUCUUGAUAAAUUGGAGAAGUGCCCAAGAGAAAUUCAUCAUCCUGAGAUACAAAAGGUAGGAAGUGACUUUUUUUGGUUUGGUUCUUUUUCUUUAUUGUUUUCUGGAAAUAGAAGUAAUUAAGUAUAGAUACUACUGGUUUGUUUCUUCCAGUAGCUGAUAAUACUAAUACCAAUAAUAAUAAUAAUAAGAGUAAAGUAAUACUACUUAAACUGUCUUUAUUUAUCCAUUGAACUGGCCAUUUUAAAUCUAAACUUCUAAACACAAAUCAAACCAUCAUCCUUGUAGAAUCUUUAAUAGGAGUGGGCUAAAGAUCCUGGUUUUGUUGACAGGAUUUAUUGGUUCAUGAAGAGCAAGAGGUAAGUACAAGCCUAACUACCCUCUAGCUCACAGACCUGCCCGGUGAAUAGAGCUUUGUUUUUUUGAUGGGCUUGUGAUGACUUUGAGAUCAAUUGCUCAUUCAUUACAGUAAAAAAAAAAAUUGUUUUGAACAUGACAGCAAAAAUAACUUUAAGCACAACUUAAUAAUAAUAGAUCACCAAUUUUAGUUAAUAAUUUUAUGCUAUACUCUUGGGUGAGGGAAGACUCGGACACUCAAUAUGAGAUCAGCAAGCUAUGUUUAUUGCAGAGAGUAUCAGACACUUAUACAGCACAUAAUAAGCUUAUGAAUAUUCUGUAAGCCAAGCGAUCUAUUGGUUAAACUAUACCAUCAACUCUUCCUCAUUCCUUUGGGCCUACAUUCCCUAUUUCCCACGUCGCUCUGUCUACUUGUUAUCCUACCCAGCUAGGCCCAGGCACACGCUAUCUUGCAGGUGCAAAACUCAAAAAUACCUGUGUUCGGUACUUUCCCAGCUCCUGGUCGGCUAACGAGCGAAUGUCUGCGUGACCUCUGUCAUGGAGCCAUUUCUCCACACUAUACUAUCAAAGUUUAAAGGGAUCAGUGAAUUUUAACUCUGGAGUCCUCUAUGCUAAGGAUGCUCAGCUUACAGAUGAUGAAAUGUUCAGUAAUGUAUUUGCUGCAGCUCUGCUUACCCAAGGUUUGGGUAAAACAAGCUUUGGGUUCCUUCUGUCUCACUGGGAGUUGCCCAAUUCAGUUGCAUCUGGUGAAAUUCACCCUGAGACCUUACAGAACCAGCUCCAACUACGUGAGAGCCAUUUGCAGUUCUCUCCAGACACCUGGAGAAUGGGCGACGUUUCUGAGGAUCCGGCAAGCGUGCUUCUGUCAAAACUCAGUCUGUGAAAUUUCUGGGGAAAACCCUUCUGUGUCCUGAAGGGUUCAAACUCUGGCGAGGAUCCAGUUAUCAGGUGCUCACCUGGAUGGUUCCAGCUGCCAAAGGUAACACUUGUACUCUUGCCCUGUAGUUUACAUCUAUUGUAUUUUUGUUAUUUUGCAAGAUUUUUUGUCUUUGCAAAAUAUUGUGCAUUUCACUCUUUGGAACCUCUCAGAUGGUUCUUUGGUGCAGCACCACCCCAUGGGACACUUGGCUGCUGUCCUGAAGGGGUUGGUCGCUAGAAUUGUGAAUCCUGGAGAGUUUAUAAGUCUUCUGUCCCCAGGGAGGUAUCAUGCUUGGUUUACUUUUGUUCUGUUAGUUAGGCGCUGCUUCUCGUUGCAAGUAUGAAUUUCAAACUGCCCUGUUCUUUUUUUAACUG
This is a long non-coding RNA of Melospiza georgiana, 2022 nucleotides long. RefSeq lists it as uncharacterized. Lineage: Eukaryota; Metazoa; Chordata; Aves; Passeriformes; Passerellidae. The transcript is spliced from 3 exons. The record is from RefSeq and is a predicted model, not a curated record.